RNAcentral lists this ribosomal RNA (660 nucleotides) under uncultured bacterium. RNAcentral describes it as "bacterial SSU rRNA". It matches the Rfam family "Bacterial small subunit ribosomal RNA", at positions 94 to 788 of the family's 1533-position model. The record is from RNAcentral.
AGUGGCGGACGGGUGAGUAACGCGUGAGAAUCUGCCUUGGGGUCGGGGACAACCACUGGAAACGGUGGCUAAUACCGGAUAAGCCGAUUGGUGAAAGAUUUAUUGCCCGAAGAGGAGCUCGCGUCUGAUUAGCUAGUUGGUGAGGUAAGAGCUCACCAAGGCAGCGAUCAGUAGCUGGUCUGAGAGGACGAUCAGCCACACUGGGACUGAGACACGGCCCAGACUCCUACGGGAGGCAGCAGUGGGGAAUUUUCCGCAAUGGGCGAAAGCCUGACGGAGCAAGACCGCGUGAGGGAGGAAGGCUCUUGGGUUGUAAACCUCUUUUCUCAGGGAAGAAGCUCUGACGGUACCUGAGGAAUCAGCCUCGGCUAACUCCGUGCCAGCAGCCGCGGUAAUACGGAGGAGGCAAGCGUUAUCCGGAAUUAUUGGGCGUAAAGCGUCCGCAGGUGGCGAUUCAAGUCUGCUGUCAAAGCACGGGGCUUAACUCCGUAAAGGCAGUGGAAACUGAAUAGCUAGAGUGCCGUAGGGGUAGAGGGAAUUCCCGUUGUAGCGGUGAAAUGCGUAGAGAUCGGGAAGAACAUCGGUGGCGAAAGCGCUCUACUGGACGGCAACUGACACUCAGGGACGAAAGCUAGGGGAGCGAAUGGGAUUAGAUACCCC